Molecule: RNA transcript, 3087 nt
Organism: Temnothorax curvispinosus
Lineage: Eukaryota; Metazoa; Arthropoda; Insecta; Hymenoptera; Formicidae
Gene name: probable protein phosphatase CG10417
Exons: 7
Source: RefSeq, a predicted model, not a curated record
AAAACAGAAAGCCAAACCGGUCAUGGGAGGCUAGUCAACGACUUGUGCAGCAGCCACGCUUGUGAGUUCUGUUUUCUGGCGGAAACGUUAGCGAUACAUUAACGCGGACGCCGCGGGAGUAGCACGACGGCCAGCCGGUAUUUUAAAAGAUGGGAGCGUACUUGUCGGAGCCGAUCACGAAGAAGGAAUCGAGCGACGAAGUGGGAAAGAAUGUCGCGUACGGCGCGAGCUCGAUGCAGGGCUGGCGGAUCAGUCAGGAGGAUGCUCACAAUUGUUGCAUAGAAUUUGACGAGAAUGUCUCGCUGUUUGCCGUAUACGACGGUCAUGGAGGACACGAGGUUGCGACGUAUUGCGCGCGCAACCUCCCCGAUUUUAUCAAACAGACAGAAGCUUACAAGAAAGGCGAUAUUAGGCAAGCUUUAAUAGACGCUUUCCUCGGUUUCGAUGAUACCCUUACGAAGCCGGAGGUAGUCAAUGUUCUCAAAGAGCUCGCGGGAACGUCCACGUCGGAGAAAAAGGAGGGUGACCUGACCGAAUCUGAUGAAGAAGAAAAUGUUAGUAAUCUGUGUAUGGAAGCGACGAUGCCGUUGGAGCAAGUAAUGGCAAAGUAUCAGUCAGAGGUGGCGAAUCCUCAUCUAAAAAAUCUGAAAGGCGAGAAGUGUGGUAAGCGCGCAUUCGCGAGUCCUUACUUGCGGGGUCGAAGAGGACGUGAGAAAACGAGCGGUUCGUCCUCUGGCGCGGGAUGCUCAUCGUCGCCGUCACCGCCAGCGACGUCAUCCUCGUCGUCCGCGUCCACGCCCGACUGGAAUACGAACGAAACGGACGUGAGUAGUUCCAGUCAGCCGUGCGGGUCGACUCUGUCCAGCACAGUGGAGCGAAAGGAUUCCGAUUGCCCGGGUAGCAACGAAGCUGAGCAAGUGCUGGAUUCGACGACGAGCAAUGGCAGCGCUCACGCGUCUCCACCGGUGGUGUCUACUGCGGAUGUAGAACCUGCUAAGUCUAUGGACAUGCCCGAUAGUUCCGAAGAUGUAAAAGAGAAAGUCUCGAGUCCCGGCAAGGCGCCACCGUGCGCGGAGUCUAAUGCGAACGAGGUGGAAGUUAAUGGCGCGGAGUCGAAGAGGAUCGGAGAUGCGGACAGCAGUAAGGGUGGAGGCGACAACGUGUCGAGCAGUUCUUGCACCCCUGUGGAAAACGGAGAUGCGGGUCAGCAAGAACGGAUAACUAGCAGUGGUCGAAGAAGAACUCAGCCUGUGGAUCUUUACCAAAGUCUACUGAAAAAGGACAACGACGACUCUGAAGAAGACGACGACGAUGACGAAAAUGAUGAGACCUUCGAUGGUGUUCCUGAAAGUGACGGAGACGAUACAGAAGAUAUUGAUGAGGAUGAAAGCGAUGAAGAUGACGAAGUCGAGGAGGAGGAGGAGGAGGAGGAUCUAGAAGACGAUUCAGACGAUGACACGGAUGAUCUAAUGAUAGAAAAGCCUGGUUCGGACAGUGGAUGCACGGCGGUUGUAGCGAUACUCAAGAACAAUGAACUGUACGUGGCCAAUGCUGGAGACUCUCGGUGUGUCCUAUGCAGGGAUGGUCAGGCGAUCGAACUUAGCUUGGACCAUAAGCCCGAAGACGCACCGGAAAUGGAACGUAUAGUAAAAGCAGGCGGAGAGGUGACGAGCGACGGCAGAGUGAAUGGCGGCCUCAAUCUUUCCAGAGCACUUGGCGAUCAUGCGUAUAAGCGAAACAUGGUAUUACCACCCCAAGAACAGAUGAUCUCCGCUCUACCGGACGUAAGGCAUAUUACGAUCGAUCCGGAGAAAGACGAAUUUAUGGUGCUCGCUUGUGAUGGCAUAUGGAAUUUCAUGACCAGUCAAAACGUCGUUCAGUUCGUGCGCAACCGUUUGUCACAAAAUUACGAGAACAUUUCGAAAAUCUGCGAAGAGUUAUUUGAUCAUUGCCUUGCACCGGAUACUCUCGGCGACGGAACGGGCUGCGACAACAUGACUGCCGUAAUAGUUAAGUUUAAAUCGCCGGCAACCGAAACUGUUAAAAAUAACACCGUUGCCGAGGUAUGCGUUACGAAGAAGCGAUCGGUCUCGCCAGCCGCUGAGGAAAAUAACGACUGUAUCCCGGGAGAAAACACGGUAAACCCCUGCAAACGCGCCAAGACCGAGGCAGCUAUGUGAAUUAGGAGUCACCAUGCGUCAUGAACUGAUCUCCGGGAGCGGACGAGUGAAUAUAUCUACUCGUGCCUACGUGUACAUCAAGCUCCUCCAUCCGAUAUCUACCCAACAUGAACACGAACUAAGAGAGCGCGUGUUAAGCACGGAGACUGUCUCUGUAGAACUUUGGUCUAAGAACAUAAUGCGAUUGGACUUAUAAAUUAAUAUUAUUAAUCUGAUGUGGCGCUAACCGCCAACACUCGUCGUCGUGUACAUCUACAACUUUCUAAGUUCACGUUACGGUUAACGUACAUAAAUCGUAAAUAGGCAAUACUUGAACAAAUAAAGACCUACUGUCAUAUUUUUUACAGUUAAGACUCUUUCACGUUGCAUGAAGAUUCCUGUUUCGAUCGUAAUACGGAAAUAGCAGAAUCUUUGUGUUUUUAUCGUAGAGAUUCAUACGAAACUGCAUUAAAAUUCUGUGAGGCAAACAUUGUAGAUGAUAGAAAUGUGAAUCGACCCAGUGACACCUUCGCGACAAUUGUGACAUUUUCCACUAAUAUAUAUUCUUCUGUCGACACUCAUGUGUAAUCGCAGUCGUUAGUAGACAGUAAUUUUCAUCGAAGAAAUUGUUUGUAGUUAAAUGCAAAAGCAAUCACAAUACUCUUAUGUAAACACCGUUUGCAAGAUGAUCAGUAGUGUAUAGAUACUAGAUACUAGAUAAGCGUAUCUAGUAUCAUUCAGAAAGAACUGACGUGCCUUUCCAAUUCAGGGGUUGACAACCUCCUCAACAUGUGUAUUGUACAUUCGAUUCCGUCUCAAGAAGAAAGGUUUGCGCCCCAUGUACUGUCUUUAGCUGCAAACUCCGUCAUACACUUAUGUAUAAUAAUAUCUUGUUUCAUAAUACAUGUGUCGCUCGAAUCAAUCUUAA